GCACACUUGGAUAUUUUCAAAGCCCAGAUACAAAUUAUUUGUAUGACUACUCACUUGUGAUAUAGUACAGUAAUAGGCAUAGAAUUUCUAGGUUAUAGAUAUUCUUUUAAUACUUAUUUCCAAGCCACCUUCCAGAAAUGUUGUACCAGUUCUCAUUCUCACCAGCACCGUAUAAAAUUGCCCAUUUUUCUGAACCCUCAUCUCUAGGUAUGAAUAAUUAAUAAUGUCAUGGAUUCAGAAGUCAGACUGUCUAUGUUCAACUCCAGCCUCACAAGUAUAAAGUAAUGUGGCUUUGAAUAUGUGGUCCAAUCUCCUUAUAAUAGCAUCUGUAAGCAAUUUAUAUGGUUAGGGAAAUUGAAUGAGUAAGGCGUGUAAAGCACUUAGAUCAUAAGUUGUCAAUAAAUGUUGGCUGAUGUUAUUAUCAAAAUUAUUUGCCAAGUUAAUACUUCAAAAUGUUACUUGCUCUCAUUUGCAUUUCCUUGAUUACUAGCUGAUGUGGACUGAAUGUUUGUGUUUCCCCAAAAUUAGUAUGUUCAAGCCCUAAUCCCCAAUGUAAUGGUAUUUGGAGGUAGGAUCCUUAGAAGGUACUUAGGAUUAGAUUAGAUCAUGAGAGUGAGGCUCUCAGGAGGAGAUUAGUGGCCUUAUAAAAAGAAAAAGAGUCACAGGAUCUCUUUCUCUGCCUGUGAAGAUACAGCAAGAAGGAAGCCAUCUAUAAUGCAAGCUGGGAAGAAAACCCUCACUGAACUCAACAAUGCUGGCACUCUGACUCCAACCUCCAGACAGUGAGAAAGAUGGAGUUUCACCGUGUUAUCCAGGAUGGUCUCGAUCUCCUGACCUAGUGAUCUGCCUGCCUCGGUCUCCCAAAGUGCUGGGAUUACAGGUGUGAACCACCACGCCCAGCCAAGAUUAUGUUUAAAUGUUAAGUGAAAAAGGAACAUAAAAUG
This 944-nucleotide long non-coding RNA is filed under the name Homo sapiens (human). Its description in RNAcentral is "HSALNT0284930". The record is from RNAcentral. Lineage: Eukaryota; Metazoa; Chordata; Mammalia; Primates; Hominidae.